This is a non-coding RNA of Leptonychotes weddellii (Weddell seal), 221 nucleotides long. NCBI's taxonomy places the organism in Eukaryota, Metazoa, Chordata, Mammalia, Carnivora, Phocidae. The record is from RefSeq and is a predicted model, not a curated record.
AUGGGCGGCGCCGGGGCGACCUGAUGUUCCCGGCGGCCCGUGCGUCGGCGGUGGUUGGGUGGUAAGAUGGCGGCUGUGAGUCUGCGGCUCGGCGAUUUGGUGUGGGGGAAACUCGGCCGGUAUCCUCCUUGGCCAGGAAAGAUUGUUAAUCCACCCAAAGACUUGAAGAAACCGCGUGGAAAGAAAUGCUUCUUUGUGAAGUUUUUUGGAACAGAAGAUCA